RNAcentral lists this transfer RNA (76 nucleotides) under Candidatus Babelota bacterium. RNAcentral describes it as "tRNA-Ala". It matches the Rfam family "tRNA". Rfam says of the family: Transfer RNA (tRNA) molecules are approximately 80 nucleotides in length. Their secondary structure includes four short double-helical elements and three loops (D, anti-codon, and T loops). Further hydrogen bonds mediate the characteristic L-shaped molecular structure. tRNAs have two regions of fundamental functional importance: the anti-codon, which is responsible for specific mRNA codon recognition, and the 3' end, to which the tRNAs corresponding amino acid is attached (by aminoacyl-tRNA synthetases). tRNAs cope with the degeneracy of the genetic code in two manners: having more than one tRNA (with a specific anti-codon) for a particular amino acid; and 'wobble' base-pairing, i.e. permitting non-standard base-pairing at the 3rd anti-codon position. The record is from RNAcentral.
GGGGGUGUAGCUCAGUUGGUAGAGCACCUGCUUUGCAAGCAGGGGGUCAGCGGUUCGAAUCCGCUCAUCUCCACCA